UACCAGCAGUCCAAGUUGCAGCCAUAUUUAUUGGGUCUAAAACAUCCGUAGCUUGCUUGUUAAGUUUUUUGUGAAAUCUUGUAUCUCAAAUAUAAGGCUUGCAAAAGAUACUGAUAAGCUAGAGACCGGUAGAUGUAAGGAGUACGCCCGAGGUAGUGGUUAAAUACGUUAAUCUUGGGUGGACUAACAAUUGGCGAAGGCACCUUACAAGGACGGAUCUGACAGUGAGGGAUGAAGGCCAGGGGCGCAAAACGGAUUAGAUACCCGCGUA
This 271-nucleotide ribosomal RNA is filed under the name uncultured prokaryote. RNAcentral describes it as "partial 16S ribosomal RNA". It matches the Rfam family "Archaeal small subunit ribosomal RNA", at positions 474 to 743 of the family's 1478-position model. The record is from RNAcentral.